This 3579-nucleotide long non-coding RNA is filed under the name Lynx pardinus (Iberian lynx). Lineage: Eukaryota; Metazoa; Chordata; Mammalia; Carnivora; Felidae. The record is from RNAcentral.
GUGAAGUAACCACAUGCCCAGUGGAAAAUAAUGCUGAGCAGAUCUUGAUACAAGGCAGUGUGGUCUUGCUCCUCUGUUUACAGAGGAAUCCUUUCAUGCAGGCAUGAUAAAUGGAGGAUUUAAACCACUGAGCUCUUCUAAGCUAACAGGCCGUUUGUCUCGAAGUUUCCAGGUUUCCAGGCUGUCUUCAAGGAGUACACCAUUGACUUUGAAAUUAGUUGUUAUGUGGAAAGAUACAUUCUAAGUCUCUAAAUUAUCAAGCUGCAGGAACUUGUCACUCCAGUGCUGUCCUGGAGUCCAGCUCUGUUCCGGCCCUCCCUUCUGUCCUGCGAGGUUGUCCCAUGGGUGAAUUCGGCUCUUUUCUGCUUCUAGAUGCUGGCACCUGCACUCCUCCUCCUUGCUUUUCUUGAGCAUCAGUAUUUCCAACUUCUAUUUUCUAGUUUUAUUUUGUUUGUUUGUUUGUUUCUAUGACAUAGAGAACCUCUGAAUUUCCUUGAAGGGAAAAGGAGUUUUAGAAGAAGUGGAUGGUUUCUCAGAUUGCACUCAAGGGUGUUUUCUUUAGUUUGUAGAUUUUUCAGGAGCGAAAACACUUUGGUUGAUGAUAUGUGUAUGUGCGCGUGUGUGAGAGAUCUACCACCACAGGAAAGAAAGGAUAUGUGUUACAUCUUUCUCUUUUAAAUUAAAGCAAGUUGUGAUCUUUUUAGAGGAUGUUUCAGAAUGUCCUUGAAGAGAUGUCCCAGGAUGGCAUCACCCAACCAGACCAAUUACUUUUCUGGAGGCACUCAGGGAUGAAACUUUUUCUCCUUCCAGAAUACUUUCCUUCUAACCCGUGUCCUUAAUAAUUUAUCAUCUGCAUGACAAUGACCAGAGUUGUAGUUUCUAUGCAGAUUCCUGAGUUAUAUCCCAGACCCACUGAGUCCGAGCCUUGCAGGUUGUGAGCCGGGUAACUGCAUUAAAAAAAAUUUUUUUUUUUAAAUGUUUAUUUAUUUUUGAGAGAGAGAGGGAGACAGAGUGUGAGCAGGGGAGGGGCAGAGAGAGGGGGAGACAGAAUCCAAAGCAGGCUCCAGGCUCUGAGCUGUCAGCACAGAUGUGGGGCUCGAACUCACCAAACAUGAGAUCAUGAACUGAGCUGAAGUCGGUGGCCUCGGCUGAGCCUCCCAGGUGCCCCAGGAAUCUGCAUUUUUAAUGGGCAGCCCAGCUUUAGAACCCGUUCUCCUAGCAGAUCUCCCACUGAUUACAGAGCAUCUCCUGUCUGCCUCACUUGUAACAAAGCCACAGACCCUUCUGUCUCAGAUACAGGACUGGAGGGAGAGAAGACGUCUCCCUACCUCUUCUUCCAAAGCUCUCUUGUGUGGCUGGGCCUCGUGUCUGCGGAUGAGAAGGUCAUGCGGGAAGGUCAGUGAACAAGGCUCAGGAACCACACAAGGAAUGGAGCACUGCGAUGUCGGGGCCUCUUCUGGUCCGGGACUACGGAACCAAACACCAUUUAGUUUUGUCACUCACUAGUCCUCGAAAACUUACUGAGUGCUUCCUUAAUAAAUAAACCAGGCACCAUUCUUCAAUUUUUUGUCAGAUAUGAAAAAUGAAGCUGAGGUUUAAGUCCCAAAUUAUUCCCAAAUAGGCAGCACCAGCAAAAUAAUUAGGAGAAUUAAGACAGUCCUCUCCCUUUCUCUGAGUGUGUGUGUGGUGCCUUUGUGUCACACACAGGUGGGUUAGGGACUUUAGCUUAUGGUUUUCCAAAUGUGUGUAGAAUUAAUUCACUUUAUUACUUCCUUCAUGCAUUUGUUUGUUCGCUUAGUAUGCAUCCACCCAUCCACUCAUUCAACUAGUGUCUGUCGUAAGCCUGCUGUGCGUCAGUCUAGGCGAUACGAAUACGGUGAUGAACGAGACAAAGUUUUGGCCCUCAUGGAGUUUUUAUUUCAAGGCAGACAAUGCCCUCAUAUGCUUAUUACAUAAACAUUUUGCAAUUUAUGUUUCCAGUAGAGAUUGGCAGUUCAACAGACUGCAAAUUGGCAGUUCGACAGACUGCCCUUGCUUUUCUCUUCCUGGCUUGAAAAUGUUCUUUCAGGAAAGACACCUUCCCAGACAUUUCAUUACAUGUUUGAAGUAUUUAUACACAUACCUGGGGAAAAUGAACUCUAAAACUGUGAACUCUACAAGGCACGUAAGUCAAAAGGGUAAGUUGAGUUGUUCAUCUGUGGGUUUUGACUGGUUCCCACCAGGAAACCCCUUUCAAGAAAAACCUUUACCAGCCACACACUUCAAAGAGGUUCCCAGCACUGCCGUGUUUAAAAUGUGUUAAUUGGACCUAACUGCAAACAGCUGCCUAGUUUAGCCACUGUUUGGAUUGGCAUUCACCCAUCUAGAUCUAGGUCAUUUUUUUUGUUAUGUGCCAUUCAUAUUGGGAUCUUAAUACAUUUGUUUUAACCUCAGAAUGUGUUGCCAUCCAAAGGAUUGUGGACAAUAAAUAAAAACACAGAGACAACAUAUUUGUCAAGCCCUGAGGUCACUGCCAAGUACAAAAGUACAUUUGAGCGGAUGCCCUAUUUGAUAGACUGUGUGGGGUCAUGGUCCUCACUUAGACAUAUGGGGAAAUUUCCAAAACUAACAACAAAAUCCGUGGCGUUUGCUGGCUUUUGUAUGUGGGUGGAAGCAUUGAAUGAUCUUUUAUUGUCUGUUCUCUUCCACUUAACUGUUGAAUUUUAAUGCCACAUUGUAGGAAGGAGGAAAGAGUAAAUAUUUAUUAGUUUCUUAGGUGAAAUUGCUGCUGGAUCUCGUUUUAUAGAAUGUUGAUGUUUUUCAAGAAGCACGUGUGGGGGCAGCUUAUUGGUUAAAUGCGAAGUGUGGUUUUCAAAAUGUUUAACAAGUGCGAAGGCAUGAGCACUGGGCGAUUAGAAGGCACAUUCACUGGGCAUAGUAACUGGCGUGGGCGUACUCAUAUGUUUUUGUGUAGCAACCAAAGGAAUUAUUAUCCAGCAAGUUACCACCAAGAGCAACUAUCUUGUGACCCUGCUGGGAUUCAGUAUAGACUGUGCACCCUGGAGUUAUCUUCCGCAGGAGUGACAGAGCUGGGACAUUUAAGUUCCCAUCUGAUGUUGGUUGAAGGCUGCAUCUUGGACAUUAAUGCUACGGCACUUCUGUCCUGCCAUUCGAGUGGCCAAGUAGGGUCUGGAAGAGGAUGCCUUUAUGCAAAGUAAUUCUGGGGCUGGCAGCUGGAAGUCAGGCUGCCGAGUAGUGAGAGCAUAUGUGCCCAGGGAUAUGGAUGGGGCACCAGCAACGUCUGCUCUGGUGGUUGAAGGGCAUUUGAGGAUGUUGGUGGGGCUGAAAUGGGGAUCAUGAAAUAGCUCUCUAUCCAUCUGGGGCACAUCAAUCAGUAGCAGUAGCCUUCCUGAGAUUCUUUGAAACAAAUUGGUCCUCAGAACAUGACUUAUAAAUUAAAUGGGUUUAAGGGGAUGGAGUAUAUAAUAAACAUUGAUGGUGAGAAUAAUGUAAGUAGUUAAUAUUUAUUUGUUUGCACUUUGUGAUAGGCAUGGCUUCCCCUUUUUCCAGAAGAGGAAAUGAGGACUGGAGAUGUCGAAU